Molecule: ribosomal RNA, 1542 nt
Filed under: Escherichia coli JB1-95
Lineage: Bacteria; Pseudomonadati; Pseudomonadota; Gammaproteobacteria; Enterobacterales; Enterobacteriaceae
Description: bacterial SSU rRNA
Rfam family: Bacterial small subunit ribosomal RNA
Source: RNAcentral
AAAUUGAAGAGUUUGAUCAUGGCUCAGAUUGAACGCUGGCGGCAGGCCUAACACAUGCAAGUCGAACGGUAACAGGAAGCAGCUUGCUGCUUUGCUGACGAGUGGCGGACGGGUGAGUAAUGUCUGGGAAACUGCCUGAUGGAGGGGGAUAACUACUGGAAACGGUAGCUAAUACCGCAUAACGUCGCAAGACCAAAGAGGGGGACCUUCGGGCCUCUUGCCAUCGGAUGUGCCCAGAUGGGAUUAGCUUGUUGGUGGGGUAACGGCUCACCAAGGCGACGAUCCCUAGCUGGUCUGAGAGGAUGACCAGCCACACUGGAACUGAGACACGGUCCAGACUCCUACGGGAGGCAGCAGUGGGGAAUAUUGCACAAUGGGCGCAAGCCUGAUGCAGCCAUGCCGCGUGUAUGAAGAAGGCCUUCGGGUUGUAAAGUACUUUCAGCGGGGAGGAAGGGAGUAAAGUUAAUACCUUUGCUCAUUGACGUUACCCGCAGAAGAAGCACCGGCUAACUCCGUGCCAGCAGCCGCGGUAAUACGGAGGGUGCAAGCGUUAAUCGGAAUUACUGGGCGUAAAGCGCACGCAGGCGGUUUGUUAAGUCAGAUGUGAAAUCCCCGGGCUCAACCUGGGAACUGCAUCUGAUACUGGCAAGCUUGAGUCUCGUAGAGGGGGGUAGAAUUCCAGGUGUAGCGGUGAAAUGCGUAGAGAUCUGGAGGAAUACCGGUGGCGAAGGCGGCCCCCUGGACGAAGACUGACGCUCAGGUGCGAAAGCGUGGGGAGCGAACAGGAUUAGAUACCCUGGUAGUCCACGCCGUAAACGAUGUCGACUUGGAGGUUGUGCCCUUGAGGCGUGGCUUCCGGAGCUAACGCGUUAAGUCGACCGCCUGGGGAGUACGGCCGCAAGGUUAAAACUCAAAUGAAUUGACGGGGGCCCGCACAAGCGGUGGAGCAUGUGGUUUAAUUCGAUGCAACGCGAAGAACCUUACCUGGUCUUGACAUCCACAGAACUUUCCAGAGAUGGAUUGGUGCCUUCGGGAACUGUGAGACAGGUGCUGCAUGGCUGUCGUCAGCUCGUGUUGUGAAAUGUUGGGUUAAGUCCCGCAACGAGCGCAACCCUUAUCCUUUGUUGCCAGCGGUCCGGCCGGGAACUCAAAGGAGACUGCCAGUGAUAAACUGGAGGAAGGUGGGGAUGACGUCAAGUCAUCAUGGCCCUUACGACCAGGGCUACACACGUGCUACAAUGGCGCAUACAAAGAGAAGCGACCUCGCGAGAGCAAGCGGACCUCAUAAAGUGCGUCGUAGUCCGGAUUGGAGUCUGCAACUCGACUCCAUGAAGUCGGAAUCGCUAGUAAUCGUGGAUCAGAAUGCCACGGUGAAUACGUUCCCGGGCCUUGUACACACCGCCCGUCACACCAUGGGAGUGGGUUGCAAAAGAAGUAGGUAGCUUAACCUUCGGGAGGGCGCUUACCACUUUGUGAUUCAUGACUGGGGUGAAGUCGUAACAAGGUAACCGUAGGGGAACCUGCGGUUGGAUCACCUCCUUA